Molecule: ribosomal RNA, 493 nt
Filed under: uncultured bacterium
Lineage: Bacteria
Description: bacterial SSU rRNA
Rfam family: Bacterial small subunit ribosomal RNA
Source: RNAcentral
GAUGAACGCUAGCGGGAGGCUUAACACAUGCAAGUCGAAGGGCAGCACGUCUUCGGAUGGUGGCGACUGGCGAACGGGUGCGUAACGCGUAUGCAACCUACCCUCAACAGGGGAAUAGCCCAGAGAAAUUUGGAUUAAUACCCCAUAGUAUUACAGAUUCGCAUGUUUCUGUGAUUAAAGUUCCAACGGUUGAGGAUGGGCAUGCGUGACAUUAGCUUGUUGGUGAGGUAACGGCUCACCAAGGCAACGAUGUCUAGGGGUUCUGAGAGGAUGAUCCCCCACACUGGUACUGAGACACGGUCCAGACUCCUACGGGAGGCAGCAGUGGGGAAUUUUGGACAAUGGACGCAAGCCUGAUCCAGCCAUUCCGCGUGCAGGAUGAAGGCCUCGGUUGUAACUGCUUUGUACGGUACGAAAGGUUUACUCUAAUACAGAGGGCUCAUGACGGUACCGUAAGAAUAAGCACCGGCUAACUACGUGCCAGCAGCCGCGG